This 745-nucleotide ribosomal RNA is filed under the name uncultured Methanomicrobiaceae archaeon. Its description in RNAcentral is "bacterial SSU rRNA". It matches the Rfam family "Archaeal small subunit ribosomal RNA", at positions 85 to 835 of the family's 1478-position model. Lineage: Archaea; Methanobacteriati; Methanobacteriota; Methanomicrobia; Methanomicrobiales; Methanomicrobiaceae. The record is from RNAcentral.
ACGGCUCAGUAACACGUGGACAACCUAACCUAUGGUGGGGGAUAACCCCGGGAAACUGGGGAUAAUACCCCAUAGACUAUGGAAGCUGGAAUGCUCUGUAGCCGAAAGGUCAGCCGCCGUAGGAUGGGUCUGCGGCCGAUUAGGUAGUUGUUGGGGUAACGGCCCAACAAGCCUGUAAUCGGUACGGGUUGUGGGAGCAAGAGCCCGGAGAUGGAUUCUGAGACACGAAUCCAGGCCCUACGGGGCGCAGCAGGCGCGAAAACUUUACAAUGCGGGAAACCGUGAUAAGGGAACUCCGAGUGCCCGUUAAAUCGGGCUGUCCACCUGUUUAAAUAACUGGUGAAGAAAGGGCCGGGCAAGACCGGUGCCAGCCGCCGCGGUAAUACCGGCGGCUCGAGUGGUGGCCACUAUUACUGGGCUUAAAGCGUUCGUAGCUGGUUUGUUAAGUCUCUGGGGAAAUCUUCCGGCUUAACCGGAAGGCGUCUCAGGGAUACUGGCAGACUAGGGACCGGAAGAGGUGAGGGGUACUCCAGGGGUAGGAGUGAAAUCCUGUAAUCCUUGGGGGACCACCUGUGGCGAAGGCGCCUCACCAGGACGGCUCCGACAGUGAGGGACGAAAGCUGGGGGAGCAAACCGGAUUAGAUACCCGGGUAGUCCCAGCCGUAAACGAUGUGCGUUAGGUGUAUCGGUGACCACGAGUCACCGAGGUGCCGAAGAGAAAUCGUGAAACGUACCGCCUGGGAAG